AACGAACGCGACCUCAGAUCAGACGAGACGACCCGCUGAAUUUAAGCAUAUUACUAAGCGGAGGAAAAGAAACUAACCAGGAUUCCCUCAGUAGCGGCGAGCGAAGAGGGAAGAGCC
Molecule: ribosomal RNA, 117 nt
Filed under: Mystus cavasius (Gangetic mystus)
Lineage: Eukaryota; Metazoa; Chordata; Actinopteri; Siluriformes; Bagridae
Description: partial 28S ribosomal RNA
Rfam family: Eukaryotic large subunit ribosomal RNA
Source: RNAcentral